CCUUGAUGACUCAGACAGUAAAGAAUCUGCCUGCAAUGCAGGAAACCCAGGUUCAAUCCCUGGAUCAGGAA
This 71-nucleotide transfer RNA is filed under the name Ovis aries (sheep). It matches the Rfam family "tRNA". Rfam says of the family: Transfer RNA (tRNA) molecules are approximately 80 nucleotides in length. Lineage: Eukaryota; Metazoa; Chordata; Mammalia; Artiodactyla; Bovidae. The record is from Rfam by way of RNAcentral.